This 71-nucleotide transfer RNA is filed under the name bacterium. RNAcentral describes it as "tRNA-Gln". It matches the Rfam family "tRNA". From Rfam's summary of the family: Transfer RNA (tRNA) molecules are approximately 80 nucleotides in length. Their secondary structure includes four short double-helical elements and three loops (D, anti-codon, and T loops). The record is from RNAcentral. RNAcentral also lists the same sequence under 3 other names.
UGCCCGAUGGUGUAAUGGCAACACAUCUGGUUUUGGUCCAGACAUUCUAGGUUCGAGUCCUAGUCGGGUAA